RNAcentral lists this long non-coding RNA (1079 nucleotides) under Apis mellifera (honey bee). RNAcentral's name for it is "uncharacterized LOC113219373, transcript variant X3". The record is from RNAcentral. Lineage: Eukaryota; Metazoa; Arthropoda; Insecta; Hymenoptera; Apidae.
AUAGUAUGCAUUGUAUCUUUUUAUAAAGGUGAAAAUUAAAGAAAGAUAAAGAUUUUUGAUAAUAUAAAUAAUUUAUAUUUUUAUGAAAAUCUGUCAUAUAUAUCGUCUGGUAGAAAUGGACAAUGUAUAAAUAUUCCACAUUGUGAAAAUUAUAAUGGUCUAAUCUCAUGGUUUGUGUUGUAAAAAUAAAUACUGUGAUGGAAUAUUUAAAGAACCUGUUAAAAAAAGAAAAUUCAGGAACCGAAGCACAUGUAAAGGAAGCAAAAACUCAGGAACAAGCACAAUUGCUCAACUUUUGUCUGUAGAAGAUAAAAUCGAGAUAAAGAUCCGAGAAUCCACUGCAUUGUGUUUCUUUGAAAUGAAAAUAGUGAAGGAAGAUUUGACUCUAGUCUUCUUAAAUGUGAAAAAAUUCAUCCAAUAUGCACACUGUCACUGCACAUACUGUCAAUGUACACACUUCAAGAUGGGCAAUUUCAAGAUAUUAUGCAGAAGCACGAUCGUUAACUUUAAAGCCAUUCUAUUCUAUCAUCUUUAAACGUAAUGAAACGAAAAGAAUUGAAAUUUGUGAAUAUUAAUUUAGAUGAAAAUGAUUUAAGCGUAUCAAAAGAACAUUAACAUUAACGUAUCACGUAUCACAAGAUGAUAAUAUAACAAGAUAAAAUGGUAAAGCAUUGAUACAGAUGUUUCGAGAUGAUACUUUAACACUUGAAAAUUUAAAUGGAAAUAGAUUUGGAUUCAAGGACUCAAUGUAGAAUCUACAAUUUUACCAUACAGUAUCAUUGAAAAUUUUGAAGUUGGAUGUGAUCGUUCCGUAUUAGAGAAUAAUAUGAUAUCUAUUUAUAUUUUUAUAUUUAACAUUAAUAUUCAAUGAUAGGCAAUGAUAGAGAUUGGCACGGUGAAAUUAAAUAGAAGUUUGAAAAUGAUAUGGUAAGCGAUAUGUAAUUGAAGAAAUGAGUCAUGGAUAAAAAUUGAAGAUAAAUUUAUGAGCGAAAAUAAAUAUAAAUCUGAGGAUAUCUUCGUUAACAGUAUUCCUAUGUAUUUAGAAGCAUUGAAAAAAAAAAAAAAAAAAGAAAAAGAAA